Non-coding RNA from Schistosoma rodhaini, 46 nucleotides. Lineage: Eukaryota; Metazoa; Platyhelminthes; Trematoda; Strigeidida; Schistosomatidae. The record is from Rfam.
GACCUACUGUGGAGUCCCACAAUAGGACGAAACGGCCGUACAGCGC